CCUACGGGAGGCAGCAGUGGGGAAUCUUGCGCAAUGGGCGAAAGCCUGACGCAGCCAUGCCGCGUGUAUGAUGAAGGUCUUAGGAUUGUAAAAUACUUUCACCGGUGAAGAUAAUGACUGUAGCCGGAGAAGAAGCCCCGGCUAACUUCGUGCCAGCAGCCGCGGUAAUACGAAGGGGGCUAGCGUUGCUCGGAAUUACUGGGCGUAAAGGGAGCGUAGGCGGACAUUUAAGUCAGGGGUGAAAUCCCAGAGCUCAACUCUGGAACUGCCUUUGAUACUGGAUGUCUUGAGUGUGAGAGAGGUAUGUGGAACUCCGAGUGUAGAGGUGAAAUUCGUAGAUAUUCGGAAGAACACCAGUGGCGAAGGCGACAUACUGGCUCAUUACUGACGCUGAGGCUCGAAAGCGUGGGGAGCAAACAGGAUUAGAUACCCUGGUAGUCCACGCCGUAAACGAUGAUUGCUAGUUGUCGGGAUGUUUACAUCUCGGUGACGCAGCUAACGCAUUAAGCAAUCCGCCUGGGGAGUACGGUCGCAAGAUUAAAACUCAAAGGAAUUGACGG
This 560-nucleotide ribosomal RNA is filed under the name uncultured bacterium. RNAcentral describes it as "bacterial SSU rRNA". It matches the Rfam family "Bacterial small subunit ribosomal RNA", at positions 338 to 916 of the family's 1533-position model. The record is from RNAcentral.